RNAcentral lists this ribosomal RNA (526 nucleotides) under Fusarium oxysporum. RNAcentral's name for it is "eukaryotic LSU rRNA". The stretch from base 181 to 334 matches the Rfam family "5.8S ribosomal RNA". The record is from RNAcentral. Lineage: Eukaryota; Fungi; Ascomycota; Sordariomycetes; Hypocreales; Nectriaceae.
UCUCCGUUGGUGAACCAGCGGAGGGAUCAUUACCGAGUUUACAACUCCCAAACCCCUGUGAACAUACCACUUGUUGCCUCGGCGGAUCAGCCCGCUCCCGGUAAAACGGGACGGCCCGCCAGAGGACCCCUAAACUCUGUUUCUAUAUGUAACUUCUGAGUAAAACCAUAAAUAAAUCAAAACUUUCAACAACGGAUCUCUUGGUUCUGGCAUCGAUGAAGAACGCAGCAAAAUGCGAUAAGUAAUGUGAAUUGCAGAAUUCAGUGAAUCAUCGAAUCUUUGAACGCACAUUGCGCCCGCCAGUAUUCUGGCGGGCAUGCCUGUUCGAGCGUCAUUUCAACCCUCAAGCACAGCUUGGUGUUGGGACUCGCGUUAAUUCGCGUUCCCCAAAUUGAUUGGCGGUCACGUCGAGCUUCCAUAGCGUAGUAGUAAAACCCUCGUUACUGGUAAUCGUCGCGGCCACGCCGUUAAACCCCAACUUCUGAAUGUUGACCUCGGAUCAGGUAGGAAUACCCGCUGAACUUAA